CUUUAAUUGUAGUUAGUGUACAGCAGUCAGAAAAAUAUUUAAAAAUUCCUCACAUGUUCAUUUAAUUGUGUUAUUGUGAUACAAGAAAACAAAUUAAUUAGAUUUCCAUCUUUAAAAAUCAAGUUUAUUAUUUAUAUGUUAAGACACAUAUUUCCAUACAUUACAUCCAAAAUCCGUAACAUUCCACUGUUUUUUUUUUUGUUGUUUUUUUUGUUUUUUUUCUUUGAGUUAAAGUGUGAUAAGAAUGAUUUGGCCAUGCUGAGAGCCAUAAUUACCUUGUACUCAUAACAUUCACUAUCCACAAUGUAGAAACAGGAAGUGGUGGUGGAAGAGAAGAGGGUAAGAGUCACAGGGAGACAGAAACAGAGAGAGACGGAGAUGGAGAGAGUGAGAGAUCAGGCACUCUCCACUGUGGCCAGGGGCUGGUAAAUAAUGAAUGUGUGGCAGACACAGUGCCAGUUUGAAAUGUAAAUGUGACGCCUGUGUGUGUGUGUGUGUGUGUGUGUGUGUGUGUGUGUGUGUGUGUGUGUGUGUGUGUGUGUGUGUGUGUGUGUGUGUGUGUGUGUGCGCGCCAUGGUUGUAACUGAAAUGAAGAUGGCUGUAGGGUCAAGAAAGUAUUUGGAGGAGAUAUGAAAAGAGUGUAAAACCCGAGAUAUAGAGAGUGGGAGAGAGAAAUAGGAAAAUAGAGGUACAGAUGAGAAAGAGCAAAGAAAAUGUUCACCUUUGCUUCAACAUAUAGCAUGUAUAUGAUAUGCCAAUGUAAAUUUUUAAAUAUCAUUCUCUACAAGCCAAACAGUUCUUCUGUGUUUCUAUGAGGUCCAGAUUAAUGAUGCCCCCAUGGAGAUGUAUCUGAAGGACAGUAUGUGUGAGGGGACGUCUGAUCUCCUCUCCGCCCUCACCAUGGGACCGGCCUGCAGGGCGGACCAGACAGCUCUGGCGUUCCUGCUCUGUAUCCAGACUAAUUUCAUAAAAGACAGAGAUUAUUCCCAGAGAAAGCACUGUAGGUCACACUGAUCAAGGACACAAAAGAGUCUUAUUAUAAAGAAAGAGUGCAAGAAUGAUAGAAUUAGGAGGGGAGACUUAUGAAACAAGACAGUGGUUGUUUUGAAGAUAAAAGCUUCUUAUUAUUUGUGCACACUGAAUUUGACCCAUGUUUUUACAGAAUGGAUUUUACACAUUAAUGUACCUGAUGUACUAUAUGAAGUAAAUAUAAAUUGUAUUAUUAAUAUUAAUAUUUAUAAUUAAAUGUGUUUGUUAGCUUGACUCUGUACAGUGAUACUCCCAUAUAAACUGAUUGUUAGAACAUACUAGAAACUGACAUGAGCAUCAUCUAUUAAUUUAUUCAAAAAUUUAAUAUGCAAGGCUUUAAUAUACAUCUUCUUUGAUUUUUGUAUUAAAAUCCAUUUUGGUAAUUUCGGGGGGCAAAAGGUCAGGGUGAGGAAAAUAUUUUGAUAUCAUAGUGAUCAGUGAUAUCAUAAAUGUAUUGUAUUUUAAUGAUAUCAUAAUGAAUAAAAAAAUACAGUUCUUGAAAAGAACACUUUAGUUUGACAUAUUCUAUAAUAUUUUAUUAUUGUUUCUGAGGGGAAAAAAAAUCAAACCUGUAACAAACCUGCUUUACCCCUUAUUAAUAUUUGAUAAACUAUUUUCUAGCAACUCAAGUAGAUGUCUAACCAGCAUGCAAGAAAAAUAAAAUAAAAUAAAAUCAUAGUGAAGACCCCAGCAGGACUGUGUGUAAGUCAAUAAAAAAAUACAAAUUCUGAUAUUUUGACCUUUUUAAGGCAAGGUUAGUUGUAAAAUGUUGUGUGGUGAAAAGGUAUUUAUGAUAUGAUUCUUCCUUUUCUUUAUACCGUAACACUGUAAAGCUCCUUUGACAAUCUGCAUUGUAAAAAGCGCUAUACAAAUAAUGGUGACUUGACUUGACUUUAUUGUGGACACUCUUAUGACAGUUUGUGAACAGGCAGUAAUUUAAAAUAAAAAGAUAACUUUAUGGAAAAAGACAAAUUUUGCAUGAUUGUAUCGCAUAGAAAAAAAAUACAUCUGGGUGGAUAAGCAAAAGCCUAUAAUAAGCCAAAUAAAGAAUUACUUUCUUACCUUACCAACCAAAUUAUUUAUGUCUGCUAGGCAAAUGUCAUGUCACAUAAUUAAUAUUCAUGAACAAACCUGAUGUAUUUUAUAUUGUGGCACUCUUUUUUCAAAUCAUCCCUACAUCCCUGAUUUUCUAUAAAUAGAUAUGUCCCGAAAAUGUAAAGAAUUAGCUUGAACAAUUUAUGAAAAUGAAGUUAAGAUGCAGCAAAUUAAUGAAUGUCAUAUGAGACAUUUUCAGUGCUUCAGUGCUUUUGGUACUUAUUUAGGAGCGUCCCUACAGCAGUAAUGACUGUAACAGCCCAGUUUUAGUUGGCCAGUUCACACUAAGAAAAAGCCUCUGAAACCAUACCAUGCCUUCAUGCCUGUUUCACUAAGUGUGUGUGCCCAUCUCAAAGCCAAUCCCUGAGCAGGGCAAAGGGGUGGGGGGUUAACAGGUGACAGUGGGGGGCAUAAGGCGGGCCAGGAGAGAACAUGCUGGCAGCACAGUUUGAGCUCCAGAGAAAUUUUGUCACUCUUGUCACUCUCUCCAAAAACCCUUGAAUCAAGCUCACCCCCCUCCCUGCAUCCAUCUGGACCCCUGCAGGAGACCAACCGCACCCUGAGCAGUGCCUGUAUCCCUUCAUACACGUGCACACACACAUACUUAACUGACCACACCCACACACCAGUCACACACGCAGCUGUCUUUCCCUUCCUCCUGGCAGGUUACCCCCCAGCAGAGUGUCAGUCCACUGUGUUCUCUUCCCCAGCCAGCUGGCAGCUCGUCAUGGGCAGGGCGGCUCUCGGCUCCCUGCUCUCAUCACUCGGCAGUGGGGAGGACAGGCUGACUGGCUGGCAUAUGCUGGUUCCGACCUCCACACGCCACUGCGGUGCUCUCUGUCUCUUAUCCUGGCUCCGUGUCCAUCAGUCGUCGCACAGAUCACACCAUUUACCUCCGCUGUGAGUGUGAAACGGGGCAGCUGUCGAACAAAACAUCAUUUUUAAAAGUGUAAUAGGGAGUUUCUGAUCUCACAAUAAAUCUAGCAUAUGACUCAUGACCAGCUAAAGACCAGCUUAAACCAGCUCAAACCAGUGAAAUGCUUCAAAACAUAUCUAACCAGCAUAUGCUGUUUUUUUUUUUUUCAAUAGGUACAAGACAGAAUGCCCUGUAUAACCCUCUUUUCCUGUAUCAGAUCCAAAAGGAUUGAUUCCUCCCUCUCUACUAGUGUUGGUUUUCACCUGUGUACUUAUUGCAAUGCUUCCAUACUUCCAGAAGUGGUAUAGCAGGCCAGCUGGGUGGUAUUAGAGCAGAUUAUCACCCCAUUAUUUGCGCUGUUUGCACAGCAUACCCACCAUGUAAAAGCCAGUUUCACCAUGGUCACGGUAGACCUUUCAUCUGCAUGACUGGCAGCUGUAUUCCACCGCAGUUGGGCCUGAGUGAGAUAUCCAGGUGUAGCCAGAAGAGACUUUCUCUAAAUGAAGCCCACAGUGGGGGAUUCCUCGCAGGUGUCUCCCUGGUUAGUGGAAGGCCUGUUUGGCAAUGCCGAAUACCCCAAGCACUGCCAGGCUGUUUACAUCCUCUGUGCAUGUCCAAUCAGACUGGGCUUCCAGGGAAACAUGUUCUGCAUCCAGCCUGGUGCUCAGUAGGCACUACUCUCUGACUGAUGCAAUUCUCCCAGAGCUUUGCCAGCAAGGAACACACACAAAUACUUUGCUGCAAGAUUGCUGCGGUAUCAGUGCAAGUACCAUCGGCACAAAAAUUUAAAAAUGAAACAUGAGCAUGUGAUUUGGAAGGUUUCCAUUCAUUGUUAUCUGUCUCUAUAAACCGUCAAAAGUUAAUUAGACAUUAAACAAUGAUUUGUAUCUAUUUUUAAUGAAUGAUAGGUGUGUUUCCUUAUUUUCUCCUGUUUUCAUUCAAGGAAAAUUGGCAGAUAUUUAUACUUCCAAGAUCCAAAAAAAAAAGCACCGGGAAAGUGUUCUGAAAUGAUCAGAAUACAUAUGGUAGCCUUGUCUGAGGAACAGACAAAAAAACGAAGCCCUUAUUCACCACACUAUUACUUUAAGAAAACCUGACACAAGUGUAAACACACAAACAUUGUCCUAGCACACACUAUGUACAAUCUCUCCUGUGCAGCCGUGGUAGACAGGCUUCCAACACGCAGAGGAUUAGGUCUGCUUUUACUGUUCAGCGUGGCAUAGUAAUUACCCUUUCUGUAUGUGUGUCUCUCAGAACACAGAACACUGAUCUAAGAACCCAUGCUGUUGCUCCACCACUGCAGGACCCUACUGAUCCAGAAGAAGGAGAGAAAGAGAGAGAGAGAGAGAGAGAGAGGUGGAUUGAGCCUCAGCCUUGUCAGGAUGGAUUAAAGAAAAGACUUUGAGGGUUUUUUCAGAAACGCUGAAACUGAGCUUCCUGCUCUCUCCACAGUUCUUUUACUCCUGGCUCUUGCUUUUAUCCUUUUUUUUAUCUCAAGCCAUUCAUUAAUAGUCCCAGAAAUUAACGAGCACGUCAUACAUCCGUGAACACCUCCAAUAAACCAUCAGGGAGGCCUCGGAAUGACAGAUGACAUCCGUCCGUCUCUGUAUGGGAAAGCACGGCCUGACAAGCUGAAAAAGAAGAUGUCACUCAUCUAAUGGAAUCUCUUAGCCCUGCCCACUUCAGUGAGCAAUAAACAUGUAAACGUGCAAAGAAACACUGGGCCUCUGAAUUUCAAACCUGACCAUCUUGCUCACACACACUCCCAAAGCACAGCCUUUGGUAAUUAAGCUAUCCAUUGUGAAGGCAGGGUUUGAUAACGUACUUCUCUUUAUUCAGCAAUAUUUAUGUCUCAUCUCUGCAUAGCGCAAGGAGUAUUGUACACUUGAAAAGAUCCAUGAAGAGCCUCAAUCACACACAAGACACACACAUGCAUGCAAACACACACCCACCACACAAUCACACUCAUCUCCUCAAGAGGACAUUAUUGGAAACUCCCUGCAGAAAACAUUAUUUCAGGCCUGCGGAAUAAAUGAGGACAGUUUGGUGGAAGGCUGCUGGUAACCUGCAUGGCUUAUUUUAACCUGUCUCAUUACAACAACCUUUUUAAUUUUACUGAGUGGUACCUGUCAAAAAAAAGAAGAAGAAGAAGAAACUUGUUCAGAGGUUCUCCUGUCUCCCUCUCUCUCCCUGUCUGAUUGAUGUUCUGAGGAGGCAUUAACACUUCUCUCCAUGCCUGUACUGAAGUUAAUACAUGGGAAAGAUGGAUUACGCUACGUAUGGGCGAUGGCUUCCAGAAAGAUGGCUCAGGAAUCAAUAAUGAGUUUGUCCUCCCCUCUUUCUUUUCCAUGCUCGUCGCUUGCUUCACUGCAAUUAAAUAAAACCACAUUUGCAUAUGGAAGAAUAAUUAAAACAAACAAACCUCUAGGACAACACUCUCUCCCACAGGAGAGAAAUCCAGAGAUGAGGAGGACCCAAAAAUGAAAAAUGCCCCUCACUGAAGGGUGUAAUUGCACAGCUCAGCUCCUCGUCCAUUAAUCCUGUCAAUUCAGUUCUUCACCAGUUCUUCUUGCUCUCCUUUACAGCUUCAGCACAGUCAUGAGGCAUGAAUAUACAGAUGAUGUGGGUCUUGAUGAAGAAGUUUAACGAGUGAAACUACAGACCAACUUUACUCAUUAGGACAAAUGUGAGUGAUCCAUUAAGACUUGUUUGUAAUAUGCAGUAAUGUUGAAGCAUAUAUGAGGGAGGCUAUUGAGGACUUCAAUCAUAAAGACACCAAGGUAUGCGCUGUGCGUAAUCUUCCUCGGAGAACUCGAGAAUAACUUUUCUCUUUUCCCAAAUGUGCAUGAAAGUUAUUCGUAGAGUGUCCUCUGUCUGAAGACUCCUGUGUAUCUAGGAGCUAAAAUGAAUAUGUGUGUGUGUGUGUGUGUGUGUGUGUGUGUGUGUGUGGUACCAGCCACAGAAACACAUGUUAGUCCAGAGAGAAUACCACCUCCUGGAGAGACUCUGCAAUGCUGUGAAAGAGCAGGCCAGGUUGGCAGCUCAACAGGCAAGGCACACAGUCCUAAGGGGGCAACUUGAGUAUAAUCCUCCGUAGUCAUGGUAUGGCGAGCCAUGCCUGGUUCCUCAAGUGCUGACUGUGCAGAUGCCUGUGGUUCUUCUGGAACCUCUUGAUGGGCAAAUAUGUACCAAAGUAGAGAUUAAAUUCAGAAAUUCAUGAUUCAAAUUCAUGAAAAAAUUAGCAUGAUUAAAUUUUCAUUUUAAAGGUGAGGGAAUACCAUGACAUCCUGGUUCUUUUGAAAGCUGUUCGAUUAUAUUUUAAAAGCACACCUCAUUUCCGGGGUUUUGUAUUAUUUAAAGGUUCCUACAUCAGACACGCGUUAAAGGGGCAACUGUGCUUCCAAGCCCCAUCAAGAUGCCUUCGAGAUACACAAGGUACAUUUGCAUUCAUCGAGGCCUGCCAUGUUUUCUCUUCCUCCCCUGAAAGAGCUCAACAUGAUCCAGUGGGCUGUAGCCCCAGGCUAGAACAACACUUUAAAAAAACGCCUGCUUUCUGAUGAGAAAACACUUCCAGGAUUGCAAAGCUUGCUCUGAUCUGUCCAUCCUCUGUGCUGUCUACAAACGUUGCCUCAUCUCCUCUGUUUAAAGACUCCUUCAGCUUUCAAGAAGAUGACUUCUGGUUGAGUUGGACACUGACUUGGAACGCAGUAUUACAGUUUACUCUUACCGAUUUGACUUUGGAAACAUUGUUAAAUAUUAGUAAAAUUAGCAGAAAUUAGCCAGGCUUUCCUGUAGGUUGAACAUUAGAGAAUGGUGCUAAAAAAGCCAUGACCAUGAUUCCCGGGAAAUGCAUAAACUAUUAUGCGUAUACCUUAAAUGCAAUUUAAGUUCUUUUGGAUAAAAGUGUAUGCCAUAAAUGCAAUGCAUAAAUGUAAAUAAAUUAAUAAUAUUAAAUUAAAACCUCUCUAUAGGAAAAAAAAACUAAUCCCAUGGACCUGUUCAUUGCCUUGGAAUAACUGCUGGAUCACCCAAAGUUGGUUUUGUGCUUAUUGUGUUUCACAUCUCGAGCAUCUGCAGUUAAAUUAACCAAAACACAGCACUUGGUUCAAAUAUGAAUGUUUAAAAUGGAUGAGACCUUUAAGGUUUUGACUAGUGGCUUCCGUAAAGUCCACCAGUUGUGCAAGAAUCCUAAGCACAGAAGAGUUAUGGGUGUGCAUCAGACCUUUGUCAGAAGAAAAAGUAAAGGCUGAUCUUGUGUUACAUAAUGAGGGAUUCGGUCUCAUCUCUGAAAGCAGAUGGGGUGUGUGAGGCACAGUGGCUCCCCUGCAGUAAAUAACUUGUUGACUGCUUUAACCUCUCUUUGUGCUGUUCUGGAUGAGUGGACCUGCGGUGAACAUGUGCUUGGAAGAGUAAAGGAACAGCGAAGGAGUGGGAGGAAGUUGUUGGGAGGGCAUAUGGCAGCAGCCUCUUCUUCAGAACUCAAUGUAGUCUGCUCUGACACCCCCAUUUUCCCUCCACUACUCCUCGACCAAAGCAGUGCUCCGUCCUAGGCUGCAGAUUGCUUAUGACAGCCGCACUAUUUCAAGUGUGGAUUUGAGCUAAAUUGAAAUGAGCAGUACCACCUGUGCGGGUGGGGGCCUGUGCUCAAGUCUCCAGCAGUGGUGCAGGGAAAAACCUGCUACCUACAACCUUCAAAGCCACCGCCUUCUCCUGCAAUCUGCUUCCGCUCUUCCCCCCAUUCCUUCAGCUGCCCUACAAGGAUCCUUUCCCUGGAGCUCAACUCUCGAGCAGCCGGCUUUCAGAUAUUUCUCACGCUGCUAGACUCAUAUGGUGUUGGUUAGCAUGUAACAGACCUAUUUUCUUGAAGAAACUAUGGAUGAAACCUGACGGAAAGAAAAUAAAUGGGUGAUAUCGUAAUAUGACACUUCAAACGUGGAAACCCUUGCCCGUUUAUAGUCGGAUGUACUAGUGUUGAAUUAAGAAAGUGCUCAGGCGAGGUAAUGACAGACGGGAAGUGACUCAUUGCAGGCAGGAUGUAGUCGGUGUCAGUUAGCCAUGAGAGUGGUGAGGGUGGUGUGAGGACAGACAUGGGGUCAAACGCUCACCGCCUCAUCGAGUUCAUUUCCACACUGUCCUCUGCAGGGUGCUUCCCCUCUAAGGGACUCACCAGAGAAACGCUUCAUUCACUCACUGAUCAGUGGCCUUUUCCUCCUCCUCCUCAUACCCUCUCCCUGCCUCCCCCUCCUUUCUCACUGUCUCUUUCUCACACACACACACAUACUGGGGUGGUGCGAGGCUCUGAACUGGAAGCCAUGCUUUCUAAUAGCGCAACAGGAGGUGAGCAGUGUCACUCGCAGACUUUCAGCAGUGGGUGUCGGACUAGUGUAAACUGUAUCAUCAGUGGGAUUGUACUGGCAGACACACCUGCCAACUGUUCUGCAUACGGACAUCUGCUAAACCAUCAGAUAUGAGAUACAUUUCCUCAUAAAAAUCCACGUCAGACCAUCUUCUUAAUCGCACAAGCCCAGCGUAUCCAUGGCAGUCGAUGAAACAGCCCACAGCUGGGUGUAGUUAUCUCAACGCUGCUGGCCUGAAGUGACUUUUACGGGUCAAUGAGUAGGUCUGGUCACUCGAUGGCUGUUCGUUAAAGAGAGGUCAGAUGUUUCGCGUUGCAGUUAGUGGUGUUUGCGGCUAUGUUGCCACUCAGCUGGUCACUCCUAAUGAUCAGGCAAUCGAUAGGGCCAACAGUUCCUUAUGACCAAGCUUUCAAAAGAACAAACACACACACACUACACACACUUAGUAUGAGGUGGUAUGGCGCAGUGGUGUCAGAUGAUUAUCCGUGAGAGACUAGUCAGUGGAAGUUUCUGCUACUGUUGAAAGAGACAUUGGAAAGCUUGUCUGGAACAAUUAGUCAUAAACGGCUGACAAAAUACUGAAUUGUAAAUAUUAAAUAGCAGAGAGGUCAAUAUACUUGGAUUUCUAUCUCCCCUAUGCAAGAUAUGAAAGGAAUUGAGAAAUAUUAGCAUGCAAUUUUGAUUUUGUAUAGCCUGGCGCAGUCACUGUCUUUGAUCGUAAUGCCUAAAUAAUGUCGAUUUUGAUCAUUCUUCAGGAAUUAAUUUUUCGCUUGUUUAUCUUGUAGUCUAUCAGGAUUGUAGCUCUUCCGCCCAGAGAAUGAUUUACAUGAUUGAACAAACAGACUGUGUGUUUGUCUGUUAAUUCGCGAGUGUAGCCAAACCCAGAGAUUCGGAUUUUCACUUCCAUGGUAAGGGAAUGGCAAUGCGCACUACCUGUCUGGCAUCAUUCUCUGUAUAUGUGUGUGUGCUGUCUCAUGGUUAAGUGCACAGGAAGGCUCAUUGUAGUCCACUGGGCUGGCAGAUAAAAGCGGAUUCAUUCUCUGUGUCUGGCGACACAAGAAGUUCCUCCGAGUGGCUGGCUGGCCCGCCCCAUCUGCUGUCCACACUGAAAGGCCCGUUUGUUGGCUGCUCUUCAGAGACUGGGCCACUCGGAACCCGAGGGUUCUGGAAGUAAUCCAGAGAAGACUGUACCAAGCGGUUAGUCUGAGAGAGGCGCUGAGUGGCACCGUAAACAGGAGGCAGAGAGGGGACUUGCUGUCACACACAUUUUAUUGUUUCACAUCAGCACCAGUGCAGUACCACAAAACAGUAAAUAUACUGACAAAAGCAAAACUUUCAGUUAAAUGACCAAACAACAACAUGAUGAGCAGGUUCAAGAUGGCAGCCUGUUUACAUAUUACCACAUGACUUACAGUGUGUGUGCAUAUGCGCGUGACAAAAUAUAUUUUUCAAAUUCUACGAUACAACUUGGAUGCUUAGAUAAUAAAAUCACUAUUAAUAUUAUUGUUGUUUUGUUUGGAGCUAUUGUGUUUUCGUAAAGUGUUAGCCAAAUACUGAGCUAAAUGUAAUGGCCGUCUGUCUCCAGGGCUAAUGGAGCCAAUGAUGGACAUUUGUUACAAUGCUGCCUAGCAGUUACGCACAGCAGAGCACAUAAUUAUAUAAAAAUAUAAGAGUUUGUUGACUUCAACAAAGCACUUUUUAUGCUCGCUCUCCUUUUCUCCCUCUCUUUUUCCCUGCUUCUUAUGGUUUCUUUGUAAAGGAUUUAGAAAAUGAUGGCAGUUAAUUUAAUACAUGUGAUAUGUUGAAUGAAAUGGAAAAUAUUAAAUAUAAUGAGGUUAUAUAGCGCACCGCUUUUUAUAACAUAUGCAUGGAGUUCUUUAUUCACUAUUUUUUUCCUUCAUCUUCCUGACGCCGAUAAUUAAUAUCUACUUGUAAAUGUUUUGCUAAUCUCCUCGGUUAUAUCGGUGCAGUUCAGUCUGAAAACUCUAAUCCCGUAUUUACUUUCCAGCCGUUUUCUGUCCCCUGAUAAUCUGUUUAUGCGUGAGUGUGGCGUUGCGUUCUGCCGGGUGCUUGAGGGGUGUGAGCUGUGUUGUACGGAGGGCUCUGUGCGAUUACAGGAGCUCAGUCUUGGCGGGCACUCAGAGUUGUCAAAGCCUUUGAUCUGAACUGUCUUCAUAAUCACUUCAAAAAGUGUUCGCAGCACCGUGAGGGGUUUACAAAUUCACCCUGUACUUUUCCUGCACUCUUAAAGCGGUUGAUGCUCUGUGUUUAAGGCCUGUCCGCCAUGACGAGAGGUAAAAAAAAGGAAACAAUUUAAAAUUCACUCACUCUGCAGAUACAGUUCGAGUGAAGCAGGAUAUUUGUAAGAUUCAUUUUAUUCUUCCCUAUAUGCAUGGUCAUUUCAAACAUGUUUAUGAUGUGUCUGUCGCUGAUGCUCUCCUUUAAUUCUUCCUGACUUUCUAUAAACAAAGUGAGGGACAAAAGUGAAAUCCUUCCACAUUUUGCUCUCCAGACUCACAAGGGGCGCAAGCAGAAGGAAAAAAAAAACUCGACUGUUCUCUUUAACAACAGCAUUUGCAUAUUUUUAUAGUCUCUCAAAGAAAAAUAGCCGGCAGGCUAACAGCUCCAGCAGCAGUGUAAGCUGAAAACGGAAGCAGUGAGAUCUCUGUCUGUGUGUGUGUGUGUGUGUGUGUGUGUGUGUGUGUGUGUGUGUGUGUGUGUGUGUGUGUGUGUGUGUGUGUGUGCGUGUGCGUGUGCGUGUGUGAGCGUCUGAGCGUGUGUUUGUGUGUGUGUGUGUGUGUGUGUGUGUCUCCGCUCACAGCAUAGUCACUCUGUCCCUCUGCAGCAGAUUGAGUCUGGGUCCAGCGUGGAAGGAGGCCCCUCUCCCUGGAGAAGGGAGGGAAGGUGGGAGAGUUGAAGUUCCUCUCCUGCAAGAGAAAUAACAAUGUUAGAAUCAGUUGGAACUGCAUCUUGAACAAAUAUUCUUUCUACGGCACGCAAUACACAUUUUG
Molecule: long non-coding RNA, 11408 nt
Organism: Cyprinus carpio carpio
Lineage: Eukaryota; Metazoa; Chordata; Actinopteri; Cypriniformes; Cyprinidae
Source: Ensembl